GCCUAGUUAGCUUAGCUGGUAGUGCGUCUGCCUUGUAAGCGCUAGGCCGCGGGUUCGAUUCCCGCCCGGAGCA
Molecule: transfer RNA, 73 nt
Filed under: Diaphorina citri (Asian citrus psyllid)
Lineage: Eukaryota; Metazoa; Arthropoda; Insecta; Hemiptera; Psyllidae
Rfam family: tRNA
About the family: Transfer RNA (tRNA) molecules are approximately 80 nucleotides in length. Their secondary structure includes four short double-helical elements and three loops (D, anti-codon, and T loops).
Source: Rfam by way of RNAcentral